RNAcentral lists this long non-coding RNA (412 nucleotides) under Salvia miltiorrhiza (redroot sage). Its description in RNAcentral is "long non-coding RNA (SMIL_LNC012629)". Lineage: Eukaryota; Viridiplantae; Streptophyta; Magnoliopsida; Lamiales; Lamiaceae. The record is from RNAcentral.
UGGAAGACCCGGGGGGUGCAACCAACUUUCGUGGCUUACGGUUAAAAUGAUUCCUCUGGUCUGCCCUUGACGUUUGCUUUUCCCUUGGCUUGCUAAGAAGCAAUUGUUUUCCCCUUAACUCGCUGAGCAGCAAUUUUGAAUUUGUAAAUUGUGGAUUAUGGGUAUACACCCUACUCCCCCCUCUGGUGACAUGUGCAAUGCUCUGCAUGAACAUGUUAAGUGUGUGUGUUUGGUGCUCAUGCUUGUGAUGAUUGUGAGAGAGUUAACAUAACUACAAUUCCCAAGUAACAUAAUGCAAGUUGCAUUUCAAGCCCUAGCACAUAUGCAGAAGGUGUGCAGCUUCCAAGAUGAUGUUGUGAUUACAUAAAUCCCAUUAAAGAUCAUAUAAGUCAUGAUUUUGCCCAAGUAAAGA